AGUGAACGCUGGCGGUAGGCCUAACACAUGCAAGUCGAACGGCAGCACAGUAAGAGCUUGCUCUUACGGGUGGCGAGUGGCGGACGGGUGAGGAAUACAUCGGAAUCUACUUUUUCGUGGGGGAUAACGUAGGGAAACUUACGCUAAUACCGCAUACGACCUACGGGUGAAAGCAGGGGAUCUUCGGACCUUGCGCGAUUGAAUGAGCCGAUGUCGGAUUAGCUAGUUGGCGGGGUAAAGGCCCACCAAGGCGACGAUCCGUAGCUGGUCUGAGAGGAUGAUCAGCCACACUGGAACUGAGACACGGUCCAGACUCCUACGGGAGGCAGCAGUGGGGCAUAUUGGACCAUGGGCGCAAGCCUGAUACAGCCAUACCGCGUGAGUGAUGAAGGCCUUCGGGUUGUAAAGCCCUUUUGUUGGGAAAGAAAAGCAGCAGGUUAAUACCCCGCUGUUCUGACGGUACCCAAAGAAUAAGCACCGGCUAACUUCGUG
RNAcentral lists this ribosomal RNA (492 nucleotides) under uncultured bacterium. Its description in RNAcentral is "partial 16S ribosomal RNA". It matches the Rfam family "Bacterial small subunit ribosomal RNA", at positions 29 to 507 of the family's 1533-position model. The record is from RNAcentral.